This 12405-nucleotide long non-coding RNA is filed under the name Homo sapiens (human). Its description in RNAcentral is "non-protein coding NBAT1:4". Lineage: Eukaryota; Metazoa; Chordata; Mammalia; Primates; Hominidae. The record is from RNAcentral.
AUUAGGAAGCCCGCCCACUAAGGAGUCAGCUAGAUGCCCUGAAUGAGGUAGAAAAGUAUUCCCAGAUGUGUGUUCCCCCGCUCCAACCGCUCCCCACCACCCCCAGCAGAACCAUCAAGAGAGGAGGCUGGGCAACGCAGAGGAAAUAAGACAUUUUCAAAGACACACGCCAGAGUUGCGGAAUUGCUAGUGCUGUCAAGAUGAAGAAACUGAAACCCACAGAGAUGAAGUAACAUCCUCAAGAUCAAAAGGUAACAAACGAUUGAGGCAGGAUUUGGAUAUUGCUCUACAUGACGGGAAAGCCUGUGCUCUUGGAAUUACAGUCAUAGUACAACAGAUCAAGUUCAAAGCAUCAUCUAAGUCAAGGAAAACCAGUAAAGAGGUUUGGAGAGACAAACAGGGUCAACUCCAGGCAUUUGGGUCAGCAGAAACGGCACGAUUGAGCAGCACUGUGACUAUAGGAUCAUGGAUCAGAGGCUGCUUCCUCUUUGGUUCUGGGCAUCAGCCUCAUGUCCACUCAAAGUAAGUGGCCCCUCUGAUUGGAAUCGGAGGUGCCUGGGUCAUCUCACAGAGCCAAACAAAUACAAUUAGCUAUUGCAAAGCCUUUUGGGAAUUAUUCCCAGUGUAAAUAAACACAUAACCAUAUAGCAAGAGCCUUGAUAAAGUCCAAAAACAUGCAAACUUGGAGUAUCUAAGAGAAAAGACCACAAUGUAAAUGAAAAACCAAAUAAACUCGGGCAAACCAUAGGAUAGGGCCCUGUCUGUGAUGGCCUGCAUAUGAUGAGCCAUAGAAAAAGGAUGGUGAAUUCUGGAUAAUAAGAAAUGUCAAUGAGAUGCAAGAACCACCUGUUUUAUGUAAAGCUCCAAAUAACCAGAUCACAGUGGACAGCCACUCAAAUAAUGCCUUCAUAAUACAGAGUAUUAUUGAGAAUAACUCAGUUCACAGAGAGCUUAAGGCAGCCAAUAUUUGAUAGCCUGUCAGAAAAAAACAGAACAGUAAUUAUAGAAAAGAAUCAUAUCCUCGGAAAAACAAAAAUUAAUCAAACUAAGUUUGUAAAGUCUAUCUUACAGACACAUUGUCUGGACUGGUCCUCUCAAAAAUACUGUUUUUUUUUAAUGCCAAUUUGUUUAGUUAAUGAUUUUUGUCUUAUUACUUCAAAACUGGAAAUAUCCUAUGACUCAUAAUAUCUUACAACCUUUCUACUUUCUUAAAGAAUCUCAAGUUUAUAAUCACAGGGGAUCGGAUUAUUUUUCAAAAAUUAAAUGGUGAUGUAAUGAUUUCUGUGUCUAUUGUAGAAAAGUCAACCUUAUUACAGCUGCAACAAUGGCAUUAAGAAAUAUGAGUAAUUCCAAUCAACUUGAGAUAAUGUCUAAUCAAACACAAAUACAACUGGUAAAUUUCAUUAAAUAGCAUGGAGAUUAAAUUAAAACACUAUUAUGUAAUAAAAACCUUUAGUGGUACUAAAAUUUUAGAAUAGUUCAGAUAUACAGAAAAAUUUCAAAGAUACACAGAGUUCCCAUUUUUUUCCUAUUACUAACCUCUCAUAUUUGUCACAACUAAUGAAUAUUCAAUAGAGUAUUAUUAACUAAAGCCUAUACAUUUAUUUAGAUUUCCUUAGUUUUUAGCUAACAUUCUUUUUCUUUGUUCCAGGAUCCCAUCCGGGCCACCACAUUGAAUUUAUUUGUCAUUUUAGGUACCUCUUGGCUGUGAGUUUCUUAGACUUUCCUUGUUUUUGGUGACCCUGACAGUUUGAGGGAGUACUAGUCAGUCAGUUAUUUUUGCAGAAUGCCCUAAAUUUGAGUUUGGCUGAUGUUUUUCUUAGGGUUUGACUGGGGUUAUGGGUUUUGGGGAGGAAGACCACAGAGGUGAAGUACCAUUCUCACCAAAUUAUAUUAAAGGUACAUACCAUCAGCAUGCCUUAUACUAUUGAUGUGAACUUUGAUUGCCUGGCUGUGGUAGUGUUUGUCAUGUUUCUUCACUGUAAAGUUACUCUUCUCAUCACCCACUUUUCUGUACUGUACUCUUUGGAAGAAAGUCACUAUAUGCAUCCCAAAUUUAAGGAGUGGGAAGUUAUGCUCCACCCAUUUGUAAGCAGAAAAUCUACAUAAUUUGUUUGGCAUUCUUCUGCAUAGGAAAAUCAUCUCACUCUCCCAGUUAUUUAUUUAUUUGAUCUUUUUUUAUAUCAGUAUGGACUCAUGGGUAUUUCUUUUAUACUUUGGGUUAUAAUCCAAUACUAACACAAUAAAGAAAUUUUUAAUGGAGAUGCAUUCAAAUUCGUUGCUAAAAUGGGCCUGACACCUCUUGACCUUGGCUAAACAGAGAUUCUGGAUGGAGCAAAGCACUGUGACGUCAUGUGGACUUUGAAGGUUAAGAAACUACGGAUCAUCAGGACAUAUUUGCUCUUCCAUCUCACAGAGAAAAUGGGGAUAUACCUCCUCAUUCCAGGAAACUUUCUUCCUAUAUUUCUAAUAUAUCCAGGAUAAAAUUCAAUAUAUAUAGUCAGUAGCUUCAAAGUUAAGCAUAAUUUGUUUACUAGAAUUCUUAAGGCAGAUGUUGGAUCAUUAACUCAUUCUCUUAGAAAUAACUUUGGUGCUUAUAAGUAGGCAUCACAUAAUCUGAUACACUGAUAUUAUAUAUAUAAUCGUGAAAAACAUAUCAGAUUAUAUGAUAUCACAUAAUCUGAUAUAUGUGAUAUAUAAUCAGAUUAUGUGGUAUCAUAUAAUCUGAUAUAUAAAUGUUUUUCAUAAUUAUACAUAUAUUUCAAGUAUAAUUGUGAAAAACAUUUGCCAGUUUAAAGUUUAAUAUGUAGACAGAAUAAUGCCUGGAGGUAUAGGGAUAUAAUUGGGAAUUAGAGUAAUAAAAUAAAUAUUUUAAGUACUUACUACAUAUUACUCAUUAACACAAAAGUAACUUUACGUAUAAAAUGCAUGACAAGACUCCAUUAUAAAGAAGUGUCUGAAAGCUAUAGGGCAGAAAGGUAUAGAACACAGUAUAGACUAGAAGGAGAUAAAGACAAUCAGAAGAUUUUAUUCAUUCAUUUAUUCAACAAAAAUUUACAGAGUACCUCCAAUUAUCAGCAGCUGUGCUGAAGAUUAGGUAUAUUACCUACACAGUUACAAAUUUUGCUUUCAUGUAGUCUGCAGGAAGAGAGACAUUAAUCAAAGAAUGGCACUAUUGACACUUGUGCAGGAAAGGGUUACGUCAACAGGCCUGGGCUGCUCAAACCUUGCGUAUUCCCAGAGUCUCAAGACUGGUCUUGGCCUGGCUCCUGGGAAGAUUACUUCUGAGCCCUUGGCUGAGAUAGGAGUUUAUGCCAACAGUGUGAUUUAUGGCAAACACCUGUUUUUGUAUGCCUGAGGCUUUGGAUCAUGCUGUACCAAUUUGAUCUGAGGCCUGAAGACUGGUAGCUAAGGUGCUGCAUGCCUACAUGACUGACCUCCAGUAAAAACCCUGGACACAUGCCUCAAGUGAGUUUCGUUGGUUGGCAACACUUUACAUAUGUUGUCACACGUUGUUGCUGAGAAAAUUAAGUGUACUCCAUGUAAUGGCACUGGGAGAGGACAACUGGAAGCUGGUGCUUAAUUUCUCCUCUACUCCACGCUAUCCACCUUUUCACUUCGCUGAGUUUUUUCUGUAUCCUUUCAAUGUAAUAAACUUUAACCAUGAGUAUAACAGCUUUUUUGGGUCCUGUGAGUCUUUCCAGCAAAUCACUGAGCCUGAGAAUUAUCUUGGGGAUCCCCAACACAAUACUACAAUUAAAAAAUGAGGUACAUAUUCUAAAGAAGAAGAAUAUAGUUUGUGGGAGUUUAUAACAUAGUAACCUGAAGUAGACUAGGAGGUCAAGAAAGUCUUCCCCGAAAAAGAGAGGUUUGAGCUGUGAUAAUGGAUGCAUAAGACAUUGCUUAUAAAGGUGGAGAGAGCUUUCCAGCAUGAUGAAUUGCAUGUACAAAUCCUCUGGUCAGGGAGAGUAAAGUGUGUGUGAGCAGCUGAAAGUGACAUGCACAGCUGGAGUGGAGAGAACAGCAGGAGGUGGGAUGGGAGAUGUGUGGGACAGUCCUCAGAGGCUGGGCUUGGCAAACCAUGUGAAGGAUUUUGGUCAUUAUCCUGAGAGUCACGGGAAGCCAUGGAAAGGCUGGAAGCAAAGGGGGGCUCAGGGUGGUCUUCUGAAAUAAGCAUUCUGGCAAUGGGGGUUGGGGGGAGAACUUAUAGGGGGUGAUGAGUCGACAGAAUGAAAACAAGGCAAUCUCUUUUUAUAGAACUCAGAAGAGAGAUGAUGGUAUCUCUGGCUAUUGUGCUGGCAGAGGGAAUGUUGAGAAAUGGAAGCUUUUCAUAGAAAUUUAGUGGGCCAAAUUACUUUGCUGGCUUGUGCAAAUGACAGAAUGGUUGGACCACUCAUUGAAGCAGGACACACUAGGAGAGACCAGGUUUAUUUUUGUCAGGAUGAAGCACAAGAAUGACAUACAUUUGGUCUUGGAUACACUGAGUUUGAUGUGCCUUUAGAGUUGAAUAUGGAGAUAGUUAUAGGCCACUGAAUACAUAGGUAUGGACUGAUGUCAUUCAGGUUUCAUCCACAAAUUGUAACUACAGCUAUCGACUCAAGGGGCAACUAUCAUUUGCCUGGCAUUACUUUAAGUACUUUCCAUAUAUGAACUCAUUAUAUCCUCACAAUUAUUAAAUGAGCAGAUCCUAUAACUAGCCUAUGUCAUUCUCAUAGCAAGCCAAGGAAGGGCGUUGAAACCAACUUUGGAGACGGUAGGGGGUAAAAAAGAAGAGGGAUUUUGACGUUGCCAGUAUUAGUAACUGAUUCCUGGCAGACAAGACUGAGAGUAUAUCACCAGACCUGAAGGAGGAGGAGGCUGGGCUAUCCUGGAAGCCAAGGGAAGUUGGUGCUCCAGAAGAAGACAGUUUUUAUUUAAUGCUGUUAAGUUUACUAAGAAGAGGACUAUGGGAUGGACAACAGUCAGUCAUUGCAAGUAAAAGUUGUUUUGAUGAAGCUGGAAGCUAAAUUAGAGAAGGGUGCAUGGAAGGCAAGAAAGUGAAGACAGGGAAGUGCUUUCAGCACAUCUCGCUAUAAAGAGUAGGAAAGAAAGCAAUACCUGCAGGGAGCUAAAGGAGUCAGGGAGGAGCUGUUUGUUUACAGGUGAGAUGGGAGAGCUGUAUUCAAGUCUGAAAGUCAAUGGAAAGGAUUCAUUUGAGAGGGAAUAGUUGAGUACACAUGAGAGAAGUACAUCGAUUGCAGUGAGCUGAGAUCGCACCAUUGCAUUCCAGCCUGGGCGACAAGAACAAAACUCCGUCUCAAAAAAAAAAAAAAAAAAAAAAAGGAGUACGUUGAUAGUGUAAGCUUCUUCAGCAGUCCAGAGUGAGAGAGAUGGGAUGUAAAUAUGGUCAAACAUAUUUGGGCAGAGCCAGUCAGUGAAAUGAUACUCUUCAUAACACAUGUCACAGAAACCAGUAAUAGAUCCAAGCCCUGCCUAUGCUCCACUCUGCUCUCAUACCCAUUGGUUUCCUUAUUUCUCUUUGGCUAUCCCUGCCUUCCUUCAUGACUCCAUAUGCCACGUUCCUCUCACUUCGGACACAUCGCACUUGCUGUUUUUCUCAGCUAAGAAUGUUUUUCACUCCAUCCAAUGCCCCACCUCUUCAACCAGUUUCUAGCCUGAUGAAGAUGUUCAAUAAACAGUCAUUGGUUGAACAACUUGUGUUCAAAACAUUUACUGAAACAAACCUGUAUUAGUCCGUUUUUACACUGCUAUAAAGAGCUACCCAAGCCUAAGUAAUUUAUAAAGGAAAGAGGUUUAAUUGACUCACAGUUCAGCAUGGCUGGGGAGGUCUCAGGAAAUUUACAAUCAUGAUGGAAGGCAAAGGGGAAGCAGGUAUCUUCUUCACAAGGUGGCAGGAAGGAGAAGUGCCAAGUGAAGGUGGAAGAGCCCCUUAUAAAACCAUCAGAUCUCGUGAGAACUCACUCACUAUCAGUAUGCUUCAAUUACUUCCACUUGGUCUGUCCCUUGAUACGCGGGGAUUAUGGGGAUUACAAUUCAAGAUGAGAUUUGGAUAGGGACACGAAGCCUAACCAUAUCAAAACCCAAUCUGAAACUCAAUCCGAUUUUGGAUAUUUGCUUCUGAUUUUGGUCACCAAUAAGUAUUUUUAUCAAUAUAAAUUUGAAUCAUAAUUAAAGAAGGCAUUGUAGUCUAAUAUUUAGUUAUACUUUUAUAUCCAUGAUCAUAUUCAUCCCUCCUACAAAUAUAAAAACAUAUGCAUAUGCCAUUUUAUUAUUUUAUACAAAAGAGUAUUUUUAAGCAGACACACACCUGUCAAUUAAUUCUCUCCUACUAAGCAAACAACACGGAAAGAAAUUCUAAUCAGAAUGUCAAUCUAUUAAUUUACAAUGAGAUGUACAACUGUCAAUUCAACCAGAUAUUUUUGUUAAUCUGACCAAUGCAUAUUUUUACCCUGGCCAAGCCAGCCACAGAUUGGUAAACCUUACAUUAAAAAAUGUAGGUAGGCCCAUAUCUCUCACCAUAUACAACAAUAAACUCAGGAUGAAUUAAAAACUUAAAUGUAAUACUUGAAACUGUAAAAAUACCAGAAGAAAACCUAGAGAAAACUCUUCUGGACACUGGUCUAAGAAAAUAAUUCAUGACUAAGACCUCAAAAACACAAGCCACAAAAAACAAAAAUAAAAAACUGAGACGUAAUGAAAUAAAAAGGUUUCUGCACAGCAAAGGAAAUAAUCAACAGAGCAAACAGACAACCUGCAGAAUGAGAGAAAAUAUUCACAAACUAUGCAUCUGACAGAAAACUAAUAUCCGGAAUUUACAAGGAAUGCAAACAACUCAACAACAACAAAAACAACCCCAUUAACAAGUGGGCAAAGGACAUGAAUAGAUAUUUUUUAAAAGAAGACAUACAAAUGGUAAACCCGCAUAUGAAAAAAAAUGCCCCAAAUCACUAAUCAUCAGAGAAAUGCAAAUUAAAACCACAAUGAUAUUAUCUUACAUUAGUCAGAAUGGCUAUUAGUAAAAAGUCAAAAAACAACAGAUGUUGGCGAAGAUGGGAAGAAAAGGGAACUCUUAUACACUAGUAAAACCUCUGUGGAAAACAGUAUGGAGAUUUCUCAAAGAACUAAAGAUAGAACUACCACUCAGGUCAGCAAUCCCACUACCAUGUGUCUGCCCAGAGGAAAAGAAAUUGUGUCAAAAAGAUACCUGCACUCUUAUAUUUAUCACAGCACUAUUCCCAAUAGCAACGAUAUGGGAUCAACCUAUGUGUUCAUCAACACUGGACAAAGAAAAUAUGGUAUAUAUACAUAAUUGAAUACUAUUCAGCCAUAAAACAAGAAUAAAAUCAUGUAUUGGAGCAACAUGGAUGGACGGAGAGGCCAUUAUCUUAAGUGAAACAACUCCAAAACAGAAAGUCAGAUACCGCAUGUUCCCGCUUGUAAGGGGAAGAUGAAAAAAAAAAAAAAAGAUAGACAUUAGAGACUAGAAAGCGGGGUGCAGAAGGAGAGUGGGUGAUGAAAAAUAACUUAGUGGGUAGAAUGUAAAUUAUUCAGAUGAUGGCUACCCUAAAAGCCAAGACUUCACCAUGCAAUAAAUGCACAUAACAAAAUUCCACUUGUACCCCUUAAGUUUACACAAGUAAAUAUAAUUUUAAAAUAAAAAUACAUUUUUAAAAUGUAGGUGGGAACGGAAGACAGAGCAAUGGCUUCCAGGUACUUAGAGUAGGAAUAUAGGGAUUGUUUUCAAAGUGGCAGGAGAGAUUUGAUUAUCUUGAUGGCUGUAUGACUCUAUGUGUUAAGUGGGUACUUCAAGGAGUAUAAGAAGUUUAUUUUACUUAUAGCAAAUAGUCUUGGUACAAGAAAAUUAUAUAGCACAGUUAGUGAGACUGUAGUCUUUGGAACCCUAAAACCUUGGUUCAAAUCCCAGCUUUAUAACUGAAUUACUUGGUAAUAAGAAAUUUAUUAGAACGAAUCCCUGACAGUUCAAAACACAACAGUAGAUUCUAAAAAAUUGAGGAGGAGGGAAUCCUCCUCCCUAACACAUUCAAUGAGGCCAGUGUCAUUCUGAUACUAAAACCUGGUAGAAACACAACAAAAAAAAGAAACUUCAGGUCAAUAUCCCUGAUUAACAUGGAUGCAGAAAUUCUCAACAAAAUGCUCGCAUACUAAAUCCAGCACCACAUCAAAAUGCUAAUCCACCACAAUCAAGUAGGUAUUCCUGGGAGGCAUGGUUGCUUCAACAUAUGCAAACCAAUCAAUGUGAUUUAUCACAUAAAUAGAAUUUAAAACCACAUGAUCAUCUCAAUAGAUGCAGGGAAGUCUUUUGGUAAAAUACAAUAUCUCUUCAUGUUAAAAACCCUCAGCAAACUAGGCAUUGAAGGAACAUACCUCAAAAUAAUAAGAGCCAUAUAUGACAAACCACAGCCAACAUCAUACUGAAUGGGCAAAGGCUGGAAGCAUUCCUCUUAAGAAUCAGAACAAGACAAGGAUGCCCACUCUCACCACUCCUCUUCAACAUGGUACUGGAAGUCGUAGCCAGAGCAAUCAGGCAAGAGAAAGAAACAGAAGGCAUCCAAAUAGGAAGAGAGGCAAUCAAACUAUCUCUCUUCACAGAUGAUAUGAUUUUAUACCUAGGAAACGCCACAGUCCCUGCCAAAAAGCUCAUUGAUUCCUUGAUCUAAUAAAUCAGCAAAGUUUCAGGGUACAAAAUCAAUGUACAAAAUCAGAAGCAUUUCAAUACAUCAACAUCAACAAUGUCCAAGUCAAAUCGAGAAUGCAAUGUCAUUCACAAUAUCCAUUAAGAAAAAAAGAAAAAAAAAAACCUAGGAAUACAGCUAACCAAGGAGGUGAAAAAUCUCUACAGCAAGAAUUAUAAAAUGCUGCUGAAAGAAAUCAGAGAUGAUAGAAGCAAAUGGAAAACAUUCCAUGAUCAAGAAUAGAAUCAAUAUUAUUAAAAUGGCCAUAUUGCCCAAAGCAAUUUACAGAUUCUACACUAUUCCUAUCAAACUAUCAACAACAUUUUUCAAAGAAAUAGAAAAAAAAACUAUUCUAAAAGUUAUGCAGAACCAAAAAAGAGGCUGAAUAGCCAAAGCAAUCCUAAGCAAAAAGAACAAAGCCAGAGGCAUUAUACUAUCCAACUUCAAACUAUACUAUACACUACAAUAACCAAAACAGCAUGGUAUUUGUAAAACAAACAAACAAAAAAAACCAGACACAUAGACCAAUGGAACAGGUCAGAGAACCCAAAAAUAAAGCUGCACACUUACAACCAUCUAAUCUUUAACAAAGCUGACAAAAACAAGCAAUGGGGAAAGGACUCUAUUCAAAAAAUGGUGCUGGGAUAAUUGGCUAGCCAUAUGCAGAAGAUUGAAACUAGACCCCUUCCUUACACUAUGUACAAAAAUCAACUCAAGAUGGAUUAAAGACUUAAAUGUAAAACCUAAAACUAUAAAAACCCUAGAAAAAGAUAAAGGAAAUACAUUCAGGACAUAGGCCAUGACAAAGAUUUCAUUUUAAAGACUCCAAAAGCAAUUGUGACAAAAACAAAAAUUGACAAACAGGACCUAAUUCUACACAACAAAAUAAAUUAUCAAGAGAGUAAACAGACUACCUACAGAAUGAGAGAAAAUAUUUGCAAGCCAUGCACCCAACAAAGAUCUAACAUCCUGGAUCUAUAAGGAAUGUAAACAAAUUAACAAGCAAAAAACAAUACCAUUAAAAAAUGGGCAAAGGACAUGAACAGGCACUUAUCAAAAGAAGACAUACACGCAACCAACAAACAUAUGGAAAAAUGCUCAACAUCACUAAACAUUAUAGAAAAGUAAAUCAAAACCACAAGAUACUGUCUCACACCAAUCAGAAUGGCUAUUUUUAAAAAGGCAAAAAAUAACAGAUGCUGGUGAGGUUGCAGAGGAAAAAGAGCACUUAUACACUGCUGGUGGGAAUGUAAAUUAGUUCAGCCAUUGUGGAAAGCAGUUUGAAGAUUUCUCAAAGAACUUAAAACAGAACUACCAUUUGACCCAGCAAUCCCAUUACUGGGUAUAUACCCAAAGGAACAUAACAUGUUCUACCAUGAAGACACAUGCACACAUACGUUCACUGCAGGAAUGUUCACAAAAGCAAAGACACGGAAUCAACCUAAAUGCCCAUCAACAGUGGACUGGAUAAAGAAAAUGCAGUACAUAUACACCAUGGCAUACUAUGCAACCAUAAAAAUAAUGAAAUCAUGUCCUUUGCAGCAACAUGGAUACAGCUGGAGGCCAUUACCCUAGGCAAAUUAAUGCAGGAAAAGAAAACUAAAUACCACAUGUUCUCACUUAGAUGUGGGAGCUAAAUAGUGAGUACACAUGGACACAAAGAGGGGAACAAUAGACACCAGGGCCUAUUUGAGGGUGGAGCGUGAGGAUCGAAAAACCACCUUUGGGUACUAUGGUUAUUAACUGGGUGACAAAAUAAUCUGUACACCAAACUCCAGUGACCGUAAUUCACCCAUGUAACAAACCUGCACAUGGAUCCCUGAACCUAAAACAAAAGUUGGAAAGAAAAAAAUGCAACAGUAGGUCAAAAGUCCUUUUAAGAAGUUAUGAGAAUAGUGCAGAUAAAGUUUUUAGCAUAUGCCUGGCACAAUAGAUGCUAAAUUUAUCAGUAGUUUUGCUGGUAAGGUUCAAGUCUUUUAUUCAAGACUUCCUCUCCACCAGACUUUGCUUACAUGAACAUCAACAGUAUUUGCCUUUGUGACUUUCCUUUUCUACAUUUUCUUAGUUGCUAACCUGGUUAUAUUUGUAUAGCCCUUUUCAAAACAGGAUACAAUACUCCGAUAAUGUUUCUGAUUAGCAAAUGAUAACCACUUUCCAGUCCUGCCUCUCAGAUUUUUCCCAGAGUCCACCUUGAUUAGCAUCUAUGGGUUCUGUAAUCUCUUGAGUCUCUAUUUAUAGAAAAUUUUGAGUUAACAAUUACUCAUGAUAAAUCACUUUGUGCAGAUUUAUGCAAGUUGACUCUUAACAGGCCAAUCUAAUGUCUAUGGUAGUAAGGUAUACGUUCUCAUCAUGCCCACAGACUAACAACAUUGUUUAAAUGCCUUCAGAGAGCUAAUGCCGGUGGUAGAACCUUUAGACUCAUCUAUAGAAAUCAAGACCCAAAAGAAAAUAUCCUGCAAAGAUAUUGCUUAAAGCAGCAAGCUUCAAUCUGAUAAGAUUGCUAUUGCUAAAUCAGGAUUGAACAGGGGCAGAAAAGUGGAUAAUUAAUGUAUAUAGGGCCCAUUCUGGGAUGCACCAAGCAGAUGUGAUGUUCUAUCUAUAAUCUAAUUGGUAGCAUCACAAAGGCAGAAAGGAUAAGAUACAGAAAGUUCACAUGAGAUCUUGAAUAAAAACCUAGGAGGUACUAAAAGUCAUCAAAAAAAUCAGAGUGAAACAGGAGUAACAGUAAUUUGGACCCAGAGGACAUGUACAAUUUUCAGGACAGUAGCAGGGGCCCUAAUCAAUCUGCCUUAUAAUGAAGCAAUGUUAAAAGGAGUGUGCCCAUCAGUUCAUGUUCCCCAACCUCUUAAAUGUGCCACUCAGCCUUUGCAAUGGAGAGGAUUAAUGAAUGAUCAUAAAACAUACUUUCAGUUGUGGUGUGUGAUAUUUGAUAAUCAAGGAUAUGCAGAAGUUCAUGGACAAAGUCAGGUAUCUCGAGACAUUCCUAUACUCUAACAUACUCCAGGAGACAACAGUUCAAGCUUUCAAAAUUCCUUCCAGAAAAAAGAAAAAAAAAAUCCAGUGCAUUUUAUCACAUUUAUAAAACUAGGCUCCAUUCUUGUACACAAGAAAAUACAUAUGAGGUGGCCACAACUAACAUGAAUCAAAUCAGUCUGAGACUAAUGCAUAGACUCAUGCCAAGACAUGACAAGGUAAGGAGGCAGAAUUUGGAUUCAGAGGUUUUGUAACACGACUCUUUGUAGGCUGAAGGGAAGUUUGAAGAAAAAGUUCCAGGUAAGGCCAGUGCAGUGGCUCAUGCCUGUAAUCUCAGCACUUUGGGAGCCUGAGGCUGAGGCAGGUGAAUCACUUGAGUCCAGGAGUUCAAGACCAGCCUGGGCAACAUAGUGAAACCCUGUCUCAACGACAACAACAAAAAAUUAACCAGGCAUGGUGGCACAUGCCUAUAGUUCCAGCUACCCAGGAGGCUGAGGUGGGAGGAUCACCUGAGCCAAGGAGGUCAAGGCUGCAGUAAGAUGUGAUUGCACCAUUGCACUCCAGCCUGGGUGACAGAGCAGGACCCUGUCUCAAAAACAAAAACAAAAACAAAACAAAAGUGCCAGGUAAAAGAGAAUGGCUUUGAUUCAAAUUCUGUCUAUUCAAACCCAAAUAUUAAAGCAUUUAAAAGGGAAAAGAAGUCUUUUUGUUUGUUUGUUUGUUUUGAUAUGGAAUCUCG